CAGUCGCCGCGGUAAUACGAGGGGUGCAAGCGUUAUUCGGAUUGAUUGGGUGUAAAGGGUGUGCAGACGGCUUAUUAAGUCACUUGUUAAAUUCUUCGGCCUAACUGAAGUUCUGCAAGUGAUACUGAUGAGCUAGAGGGUGGAAGAGAGAAGUGGAAUUCUCGGAGUAGCGGUAAAAUGCGUAGAUCUCGAGAGGAACACCAAUGGCGAAGGCAGCCUCUUGGUCCAUUCAUGACGUUCAUACACGAAAGCGUGGGGAGCAAACAGGAUUAGAUACCCCAGUAGUCCCUGUCUCUUAUAC
This 301-nucleotide ribosomal RNA is filed under the name uncultured bacterium. RNAcentral describes it as "partial 16S ribosomal RNA". It matches the Rfam family "Bacterial small subunit ribosomal RNA", at positions 509 to 807 of the family's 1533-position model. The record is from RNAcentral.